Molecule: ribosomal RNA, 443 nt
Filed under: uncultured bacterium
Lineage: Bacteria
Description: partial 16S ribosomal RNA
Rfam family: Bacterial small subunit ribosomal RNA
Source: RNAcentral
CCAGACUCCUACGGGAGGCAGCAGUGGGGAAUAUUGCACAAUGGGGGAAACCCUGAUGCAGCAACGCCGCGUGAGUGAAGAAGUCAUUCGUGAUGUAAAGCUCUAUCAGCAGGGAAGAAAAUGACGGUACCUGAGUAAGAAGCCCCGGCUAACUACGUGCCAGCAGCCGCGGUAAUACGUAGGGGGCUAGCGUUAUCCGGAAUUACUGGGCGUAAAGGGUGCGUAGGUGGUUUCUUAAGUCAGAGGUGAAAGGCUACGGCUCAACCGUAGUAAGCCUUUGAAACUGGGGAACUUGAGUGCAGGAGAGGAGAGUGGAAUUCCUAGUGUAGCGGUGAAAUGCGUAGAUAUUAGGAGGAACACCAGUGGCGAAGGCGGCCUGCUGGACGACAACUGACGGUGAGGCGCGAAAGCGUGGGGAGCAAACAGGAUUAGAUACCCGUGUA